Molecule: small RNA, 28 nt
Filed under: Bombyx mori (domestic silkworm)
Lineage: Eukaryota; Metazoa; Arthropoda; Insecta; Lepidoptera; Bombycidae
Description: ovarian small RNA-32015
Source: RNAcentral
UGACUGUCUUGCGAACUGCUCCAUAUAC